AUACGGAGGAUCCGAGCGUUAUCCGGAUUUAUUGGGUUUAAAGGGAGCGUAGGCGGACGCUUAAGUCAGUUGUGAAAGUUUGCGGCUCAACCGUAAAAUUGCAGUUGAUACUGGGUGUCUUGAGUACAGUAGAGGCAGGCGGAAUUCGUGGGGUAGCGGUGAAAUGCUUAGAUAUCACGAAGAAAUCCGAUUGCGAAGGCAGCCUGCUGGACUGUAACUGACGCUGAUGCUCGAAAGUGUGGGUAUCAAACAGGAUUAGAUACCCUGGUAGUCCACACAGUAAACGAUGAAUACUCGCUGUUUGCGAUAUACAGUAAGCGGCCAAGCGAAAGCGUUAAGUAGUCCACCUGGGGAGUACGCCGGCAACGGUGAAACUCAAAUGAAUUGGCGGGG
This 393-nucleotide ribosomal RNA is filed under the name uncultured bacterium. Its description in RNAcentral is "partial 16S ribosomal RNA". It matches the Rfam family "Bacterial small subunit ribosomal RNA", at positions 523 to 918 of the family's 1533-position model. The record is from RNAcentral.